This 240-nucleotide ribosomal RNA is filed under the name uncultured Lactobacillus sp. Its description in RNAcentral is "partial 16S ribosomal RNA". It matches the Rfam family "Bacterial small subunit ribosomal RNA", at positions 122 to 355 of the family's 1533-position model. The record is from RNAcentral. Lineage: Bacteria; Bacillati; Bacillota; Bacilli; Lactobacillales; Lactobacillaceae.
UAACCUGCCCAAGAGAUCGGGAUAACACCUGGAAACAGAUGCUAAUACCGGAUAACAACAGAUGAUGCCUAUCAACUGUUUAAAAGAUGGUUCUGCUAUCACUCUUGGAUGGACCUGCGGUGCAUUAGCUAGUUAGUAGGGUAACGGCCUACCAAGGCGAUGAUGCAUAGCCGAGUUGAGAGACUGAUCGGCCACAUUGGGACUGAGACACGGCCCAAACUCCUACGGGAGGCAGCAGCC